This 588-nucleotide long non-coding RNA is filed under the name Hordeum vulgare. RNAcentral's name for it is "long non-coding RNA (HVUL_LNC006348)". Lineage: Eukaryota; Viridiplantae; Streptophyta; Magnoliopsida; Poales; Poaceae. The record is from RNAcentral.
CAUUAUUAUUUUUUAUUUUCAAGAUCACAGUAACAGUUCAUGGCUAUGGAAAAAUCAUAACCAGACAUCACGCCUAGCUGCUUAAGAAGUAUCUCCGAUAAUGGACAUGUUAAGACAUUAUCAGCAAAAAUGAAAAGAGUGACUUACCAUUGAUUAUUGCCUGCAGGGAUGACACAAAAUUCCGCAGGCUGCCAGAAUUCGCUGGACUGGUCGCCUUAUGAGAUUGUGGACUUGAAAUGAAUCGAAAGCCAGGGGCGUGUCGGAAGGAGGAUGGAACGGGCUAAGCGGCACUAUUUCAAGUGUGCUGAGGGAAGCAACAAGCAAGAAGAGGAUGUCUGAUGUUUUAUGUGAGCUGAUGGUGAGUUCGCCGAGGUAUGGACGUUGAUAUAGUGAUGGAAUUCAUCGUUGUGAUGACCUGUACCGAUGCCGGAGGCAGAAACAAACAAGAUCUGCAGAUAGGCUAGCUAGGCGGCAUUAUGGAGGCCAAUCGACUGUGUCAAACGCCAAUUAGGCUAAUGGAUUUGUUUAUUGCAGUUGUGGAAGCUGGAGCCUUUGGAUCCUCAGCGAGGCUCGAAGUAUGCUAAAUAU